GAUGAACGCUGGCGGCGUGCCUAAUACAUGCAAGUCGAGCGAACGGACGAGAAGCUUGCUUCUCUGAUGUUAGCGGCGGACGGGUGAGUAACACGUGGAUAACCUACCUAUAAGGCUGGGAUAACUUCGGGAAACCGGAGCUAAUACCGGAUAAUAUUUUGAACCGCAUGGUUCAAAAGUGAAAGACGGUCUUGCUGUCACUUAUAGAUGGAUCCGCGCUGCAUUAGCUAGUUGGUAAGGUAACGGCUUACCAAGGCAACGAUGCAUAGCCGACCUGAGAGGGUGAUCGGCCACACUGGAACUGAGACACGGUCCAGACUCCUACGGGAGGCAGCAGUAGGGAAUCUUCCGCAAUGGGCGAAAGCCUGACGGAGCAACGCCGCGUGAGUGAUGAAGGUCUUCGGAUCGUAAAACUCUGUUAUUAGGGAAGAACAUAUGUGUAAGUAACUGUGCACAUCUUGACGGUACCUAAUCAGAAAGCCACGGCUAACUACGUGCCAGCAGCCGCGGUAAUACGUAGGUGGCAAGCGUUAUCCGGAAUUAUUGGGCGUAAAGCGCGCGUAGGCGGUUUUUUAAGUCUGAUGUGAAAGCCCACGGCUCAACCGUGGAGGGUCAUUGGAAACUGGAAAACUUGAGUGCAGAAGAGGAAAGUGGAAUUCCAUGUGUAGCGGUGAAAUGCGCAGAGAUAUGGAGGAACACCAGUGGCGAAGGCGACUUUCUGGUCUGUAACUGACGCUGAUGUGCGAAAGCGUGGGGAUCAAACAGGAUUAGAUACCCUGGUAGUCCACGCCGUAAACGAUGAGUGCUAAGUGUUAGGGGGUUUCCGCCCCUUAGUGCUGCAGCUAACGCAUUAAGCACUCCGCCUGGGGAGUACGACCGCAAGGUUGAAACUCAAAGGAAUUGACGGGGACCCGCACAAGCGGUGGAGCAUGUGGUUUAAUUCGAGGCAACGCGAAGAACCUUACCAAAUCUUGGCAUCCUUUGACAACUCUAGAGAUAGAGCCUUCCCCUUCGGGGGACAAAGUGACAGGUGGUGCAUGGUUGUCGUCAGCUCGUGUCGUGAGAUGUUGGGUUAAGUCCCGCAACGAGCGCAACCCUUAAGCUUAGUUGCCAUCAUUAAGUUGGGCACUCUAAGUUGACUGCCGGUGACAAACCGGAGGAAGGUGGGGAUGACGUCAAAUCAUCAUGCCCCUUAUGAUUUGGGCUACACACGUGCUACAAUGGACAAUACAAAGGGCAGCGAAACCGCGAGGUCAAGCAAAUCCCAUAAAGUUGUUCUCAGUUCGGAUUGUAGUCUGCAACUCGACUACAUGAAGCUGGAAUCGCUAGUAAUCGUAGAUCAGCAUGCUACGGUGAAUACGUUCCCGGGUCU
Molecule: ribosomal RNA, 1372 nt
Filed under: uncultured bacterium
Lineage: Bacteria
Description: bacterial SSU rRNA
Rfam family: Bacterial small subunit ribosomal RNA
Source: RNAcentral